Molecule: non-coding RNA, 157 nt
Filed under: Rhodospirillaceae bacterium
Lineage: Bacteria; Pseudomonadati; Pseudomonadota; Alphaproteobacteria; Rhodospirillales; Rhodospirillaceae
Description: 6S RNA
Rfam family: 6S / SsrS RNA
About the family: E. coli 6S RNA was the first non coding RNA to be sequenced, but its function was unknown until recently.
Source: RNAcentral
GUAAGGCUUCGCGGUGCGUAAGGUGCUGAAAUCCCUGGGGCCAAUACACACCUCUAGGGAGCUGUCCCUGCCGGGAUCGUGGUCCCGGUACAUGGUGCCCACCUGCACUUGCAGGCCACAGAGGAUAUCAGGCGCCGACGGCCAGCGCAGCUUUACC